Molecule: non-coding RNA, 66 nt
Organism: Cordylochernes scorpioides
Lineage: Eukaryota; Metazoa; Arthropoda; Arachnida; Pseudoscorpiones; Chernetidae
Source: the annotation of a GenBank genome assembly
UGCAUCGGCCGGGAAUCGAACCCGGGCCGCCCGCGUGGCCCGCGUUUACCAGUGAACUACCGAUGC